AGAAGAAGAAGAAGAAGAAGAAGAAGAAGAAGACUGUUGUGAUUUACAAACAUAUGACAGUGGACGGAUGUCAGAUGACCACGUGCUUUGUUGGAGCUGUAUCCGUCAAAAGGGUCCAGAGUAUGGAUGAUGAUUUCACCUUCUCCUGGUCUCCAUCCUCCCAUUUCAGCUGAGAAUUACUUUUGUGUG
Molecule: long non-coding RNA, 189 nt
Organism: Limanda limanda (common dab)
Lineage: Eukaryota; Metazoa; Chordata; Actinopteri; Pleuronectiformes; Pleuronectidae
Exons: 3
Source: RefSeq, a predicted model, not a curated record